This 474-nucleotide ribosomal RNA is filed under the name Bradybatus kellneri. RNAcentral describes it as "partial 16S ribosomal RNA". It matches the Rfam family "Archaeal large subunit ribosomal RNA", at positions 1914 to 2637 of the family's 2987-position model. Lineage: Eukaryota; Metazoa; Arthropoda; Insecta; Coleoptera; Curculionidae. The record is from RNAcentral.
CUUUUUGGUAAUAAUUUAAAGUCUGACCUGCCCAAUGAGAAAUUUAAUGGCSGCGGUAUUUUAACCGUGCAAAGGUAGCAUAAUAAUUAGUUUCUUGAUUAGAAGCUUGUAUGAAAGGUUUGAUGAAAAAAUAGCUGUCUCUGUUUAAAUUAAUUAGAAUUUUAUUUUUAAGUAAGAAAGCUUAAAUAUAUAUUGAAGACGAGAAGACCCUAUAGAGUUUUAUAUUAGAAUUAUCUUAAUUUUUUAGAAUUUAGGAAUUUUGGUUAAUUUUAGUAUUUUAUUGGGGUGAUUAAAAAAUUAAUUGAACUUUUUUUUCAUCUAAUCAUUAAUUUAUGAAUAAUUGAUCCUUAAAGAAGAUUAAAAGAUUAAAUUACCUUAGGGAUAACAGCGUAAUUUUCUUUGAGAGUUCUAAUCGAAAAGAAAGUUUGCGACCUCGAUGUUGGAUUAAAAUGAAAUUUUGGCGCAGAAGCUAGA